GACGAACGCUGGCGGCGUGCUUAACACAUGCAAGUCGAACGAACUCGAGACUUCGGUCUCAAUGAGUUAGUGGCGAACGGGUGAGUAACACGUGAGAAACCUGCCCCGAAGUAGGGAAUAACCCAGAGAAAUUUGGACUAAUACCGUAUGCCCUCACAGAAUCGAAUGGUUCAGUGAGGAAAGAUUUAUCGCUUUGGGGGGGUCUCGCGGCCUAUCAGCUAGUUGGUGAGGUAAUGGCUCACCAAGGCAUCGACGGGUAGCUGGUCUGAGAGGACGAUCAGCCACACUGGAACUGAGACACGGUCCAGACUCCUACGGGAGGCAGCAGUGGGGAAUCUUGCACAAUGGGCGAAAGCCUGAUGCAGCGACGCCGCGUGGGGGAUGAAGGCCCUAGGGUCGUAAACCCCUUUCAGGAGGGACGAAAAUGACGGUACCUCCAGAAGAAGCCCCGGCCAACUACG
Molecule: ribosomal RNA, 461 nt
Filed under: uncultured Acidimicrobiales bacterium
Lineage: Bacteria; Bacillati; Actinomycetota; Acidimicrobiia; Acidimicrobiales
Description: bacterial SSU rRNA
Rfam family: Bacterial small subunit ribosomal RNA
Source: RNAcentral